RNAcentral lists this non-coding RNA (939 nucleotides) under Normichthys operosus (multipore searsid). RNAcentral's name for it is "12S rRNA". It matches the Rfam family "Bacterial small subunit ribosomal RNA". The record is from RNAcentral. Lineage: Eukaryota; Metazoa; Chordata; Actinopteri; Alepocephaliformes; Platytroctidae.
CAAAAGCUUGGUCCCGACUUUAGUAUCAGCUUUAGCCUAAUUUACACAUGCAAGUCUCCGCACCCCUGUGAGAAUGCCCUUAAUCUCCCGCCCGGAGAUGAGGAGCCGGCAUCAGGCACACUUGUUGGCCCAAGACGCCUUGCUACGCCACACCCCCAAGGGAACCCAGCAGUGAUAAACAUUAAGCCAUAAGUGAAAGCUUGACUUAGUGAGGGCUAUGAGGGCCGGUAAAACUCGUGCCAGCCACCGCGGUUAUACGAGCGGCCCCAGUUGAUAAACACGGCGUAAAGAGUGGUUAGGGACUAUACCGAACUAAAGUCGAAAGCCCCCUAGGCCGUUAUACGCACCUGGGGGUACUAAGCCCCAUCACGAAAGUAGCUUUAUUCAAGCCUACCCGACCCCACGACAGCUGAGACACAAACUGGGAUUAGAUACCCCACUAUGCUUAGCCAUAAACUUCGAUGUCCUGUCACAUCCGCCAGGGAACUACGAGCACAGCUUGAAACCCAAAGGACUUGGCGGUGCCUCAGACCCCCCUAGAGGAGCCUGUUCUAGAACCGAUAACCCCCGUUAAACCUCACCACCCCUUGUUAAACCCGCCUAUAUACCGCCGUCGUCAGCUCACCCUGUGAAGGCCCCAUAGUGAGCAAAAUGGGCAAAACCCAGAACGUCAGGCCGAGGUGUAGCGUACGAGGUGGGAAGAAAUUGGCUACAUUUUCUGACCCAGAAUAUUACGGACGGCACCAUGAAACGGGUGCCCGAAGGUGAAUUUAGCAGUAAAAAGAAAAUAGAGAGUUCUUUUGAACCCGGCUCUGAGGCGCGCACACACCGCCCGUCACUCUCCCCGAACCCCCGACCUAAAGUAAAUAACAAAAUUGACUAACCAAGGGGAGGCAAGUCGUAACAUGGUAAGUGUACCGGAAGGUGCACUUGGGAUAU